This 325-nucleotide ribosomal RNA is filed under the name Bacillus subtilis. RNAcentral's name for it is "bacterial SSU rRNA". It matches the Rfam family "Bacterial small subunit ribosomal RNA", at positions 1063 to 1382 of the family's 1533-position model. The record is from RNAcentral. Lineage: Bacteria; Bacillati; Bacillota; Bacilli; Caryophanales; Bacillaceae.
UUUCAUGAGAUGUUGGGUUAAGUCCCGCAACGAGCGCAACCCUUGAUCUUAGUUGCCAGCAUUCAGUUCUGCACUCUAAGGUGACUGCCGGUGACAAACCGGAGGAAGGUGGGGAUGACGUCAAAUCAUCAUGCCCCUUAUGACCUGGGCUACACACGUGCUACAAUGGACAGAACAAAGGGCAGCGAAACCUGCGAGGUUAAGCCAAUCCCACAAAUCUGUUCUCAGUUCGGAUCGCAGUCUGCAACUCGACUGCGUGAAGGAGGAAUCGCUAGUAAUCGCGGAUCAGCAUGCCGCGGUGAAUACUUUCCCCCGGGCCUUUGGA